Molecule: long non-coding RNA, 339 nt
Organism: Mauremys reevesii (Reeves's turtle)
Lineage: Eukaryota; Metazoa; Chordata; Testudines; Geoemydidae
Exons: 4
Source: RefSeq, a predicted model, not a curated record
AUACCUGGAAAGCUCACAGACAACAAUCAGACAUUCUGCAGCCCUGUUCAUUGGAAAUACUAUCCACCAUUACUGUGACUUGUUGUCUGAAACAGUGACUGAAGAUGGCAUCUCCCGCCUGUAUGAAGCUUUUCAGGAAGUGCCUUUGACAUGUGACAGGACCACAGGGCACAUCCUCAAUAGACAUUACAAAUGGCUGCAGAAGCUUGGAAAUCUCGUGUCGGGUUCCGCAUUCGACUAGGGAACCGGGACCGACACAGAAGACCUCUUUGUCCUGCUAUGACAUCUAGAGGCUAACAGGAGCCAACCAGGCCCACCACUGAUCACAUCUCUUGGGAG